Long non-coding RNA from Salvia miltiorrhiza (redroot sage), 349 nucleotides. RefSeq lists it as uncharacterized. NCBI's taxonomy places the organism in Eukaryota, Viridiplantae, Streptophyta, Magnoliopsida, Lamiales, Lamiaceae. The record is from RefSeq and is a predicted model, not a curated record. The transcript is spliced from 2 exons.
AUUUCAUCAAUAAGCUUACCUAAUGGCAUCCAGGCUGAAGUUCGUGGCUUCCAACAUGACGGCUCCUUGCACCUAUAACAAUUUCAGUGAAAGGGCAUAAAUUGCUUGAUAUAUUGAACCUUCAUAAGGGGUCACCAAAUAAAGGUCAAGAAUAGUAUGCUAAAAAGAGUGGCUGCUGAGGAUGAUCUUUCCCAAAUGAAAGCAUUUUCUUAAUCAUGUUUGACACAUGUAAUUGCAUAUAUUUCACCAUGCCCCAUAUAUAUUGGUGGUUGACCUUGUUAUUUGAGUUAAUUGCAUAAAUAUUCAAGAGCUUAUUUGGCAUGGAUAAUAGCAACAUCUAUUUCUUCUA